UUUAUAUUUGAUAUCAGUGGUCAGAAAGCUACUUUUUUUCAUCAGCAGGUAUAAGUGUCUUGUUGGGUGAGAGAAUCAGGAUCUAAAAAGAUUUCUUCAGGUUUUAAUGAUGGGGUGAAUCUUUAAUGACAUAAUGAUAAAUGUCAAGUCCUACAUUUGGGCUAAAAAAAAAUCAGCUGUUAAGCUGGAGAGGUAAGGUAAGGGGACUGGAGGCAGUGUCAUAUCAUUUGAAAACUGGAUGAAGGAAGCUGGAUAUUUAGUUCAGAUAAGAAAAGACUUUUAAAGAAGGCUUGAUUUUCUGUUUUUAGCUAUUUGAGGUGUCCUAUAGAAGACGGGUUAGUCUUUUCUGUUUGGCCCCAGGGGGUCAAAACAAGGACCAGUGAAUGCAUGGAUGCUAUAAGGAGACACAUUUGGGUUCCAUAUGAGAAAGAACUUCCCAAUAAUUCAGAGCUGUUACAAAACACAACCGGCUGUCUUGGGAGAUGGCAAAUUCUCUAAGAAGUAGGUUUGUUCAAGCAUAGGUUUGAUAACCAUUUGUUGAGAGUAUCCUAGAGGUUUAUUGACGCUUCAGGUAAGGGGUUAAACUAGACGACCUGCCAAUUCCAAGAUUCUGUGAUCUUAAUUGCAUUCCCCACCUCUUAUUCUUUUAGGGAUCAGGAACAUCUGGCUUGCUUCUUCACGAUGUAUCAGGAGAACAUUGUUGGAGCUGAGAUGAUUUGAUUGAUGCAAGCUUGGAAACAAGGGGUUUCUCUGUUCAUGAACUCAAGAAGUUGUGACUAAUUAAGAAGAUGAAGAAUGUAUGUGAUGUACUUUGGAGAUUCGUCUUCAGAUAAUGCAUUUCUUUAGACUGAAGAUACCAAUCUGCAUUUCUCAGGGAGAAAUUGGAGGAAAUGGAGGCACCUUACAGGAAAAAUUACCAAAGAGGUGGUGGAAGAAAUUCUGGAAAGAAGAAAACAGUCACUGGAACCCAGCUAGAAUCAACUAAGAGAAGAGAUGUGAAUAAUACAAAUUAACAGGUAAGGCAAAAAAAUAAUUCUACAGUUUUUGACUUUGGAAUUACAAGCAGCACCUACACGUUCAUUCUUAACAUGAAUAUACAUUUCUUUGGCUGGCUCUCCCUCACCUCAUGGUUUGAUCCUACUCUCCACAUCCUGAGACCUGACGAGGACAAGAGGAGAUGGCCACUUGUAGAUAUUCAACAGUUUUGAUUCACUUGUUUUGUUUUUAUCUUUAACAAUUGUUUAACAAGGGGGGAGAAAAGUAAAUGAAUGGUUUUUUUCUGCUCAAUAGAAGAGGCAGAAAAUUGCCUGAACUGACAACUUUUUCUUGAUUUGUUAAGUGACUACAUCUGGAGCUCACUUUGAUACUCUAGAUUAGAUCCCUCAUAUUUUCAAAGAGAUGGGUCAUUUCUUCCUUUGUUCUUUGGAAGUGUGCUGUU
Molecule: long non-coding RNA, 1438 nt
Filed under: Phascolarctos cinereus (koala)
Lineage: Eukaryota; Metazoa; Chordata; Mammalia; Diprotodontia; Phascolarctidae
Description: lncRNA (ENSPCIG00000037422.1)
Source: RNAcentral